GACGGAGGAUGCAAGCGUUAUCCGGAAUUAUUGGGCGUAAAGCGUCCGCAGGUGGCUGUUCAAGUCUGCUGUCAAAGCGCAGAGCUUAACUCUGUACAGGCGGUGGAAACUGAAGAGCUAGAGUAUGGUAGGGGUAGAGGGAAUUCCCGGUGUAGCGGUGAAAUGCGUAGAUAUCGGGAAGAACACCAGUGGCGAAAGCGCUCUACUGGGCCAUAACUGACACUGAGGCACGAAGGCCAGGGGAGCAAACGGG
RNAcentral lists this ribosomal RNA (253 nucleotides) under uncultured bacterium. RNAcentral describes it as "partial 16S ribosomal RNA". It matches the Rfam family "Bacterial small subunit ribosomal RNA", at positions 524 to 776 of the family's 1533-position model. The record is from RNAcentral.